UAUCCCAUACAAGAAAUCUGCAUGUACUUUUUUAUAAUGUUUUAUGGAUCAGUGACAUGUUUUAUUGUUGCCAGAAAUAAAUGUAUUGUAAAAUAAAGGUAUAUCAAGUAAGGAGUUGUGCAGAAAGUAAUCAAGGCUGAAUAUAUACCAUUACAAAAAUAAGAAAUGUCAUAUAGAACUCAAAAUGCGUAAACAGUACAGGCAUUUAAGUUGUACAUAAUCGAAAGAGGUCUAUUUAAAAAUGCUUACGCCUAUGUCCAUAUACUCAAUGCAUUGGAAAACAAUUAAUUACAUUUACCAAGCAUAAGCUGACAUUCUAAAACGAUUAUGGGUGAGAUUUUUAUAAAGACUCAGCUCCGGACUAAUAGAUUUUUUUCUUUUGUUAUCUGAAUUAAUCCUUUAAUGUGAUCGAGAACUUAAGGAGGAAUACGACAUCGUCAUAAUUGCUGACUUCCUUUUGGAACUUGAAUAAAAAUGUAAAUACAUUGUAUCAGCAAUACAUGUGUAUUCUUUUUACAUCUAAUCGUUCAGUAGGUUUACAUGUUGACUACUGAUCUGUAAAUUUCAUGCGUUCGAGUCUAGCAGGAUGUUUAAGGAUUUCUCUUGUGUAUAAUUCCUCUUAAUCAUGGAUAACGAUGAUGAAGGAGGGGAGUCAAUUCGAGCGAACAAGCGUGUAACAAUCGAGAACAGACACACAUCGAACUGCAGAGGAGGUAAUGUGAACAGGAAAAACAAAGUAGACGCCAUGGAUGAGCGAUACAUCACGGAAACUUAUUGAUGAAAGGGCCAACAUGUAUAGGAAACUAAUACAAACCAAAUCAGAGAGACUGAAAGCGCAAAUAAAACAACAGAUAAGAAACUGUUAGGACCAACAAGAGACAAUGGGUCAAGAACAUCUUAACUGAGACAGAAGAAGCUAAGAGAAUACAACAUAUGAAAACUAUAUGAUACAGCAUCAAAGUAUCCAGCAAUUAAAACAAAGUAUUGGCAUUCUUGACGAAAAUGAAGAUCUUAUCACAAGUAAUAAAAAAACAAGAAAGGUGGAAACUUUUCAACACUUUAAACGAUCAUUCUUCACGAUAAAUUAAAGACUAGACUUGUUGACACCAUAGACAGUUGCUCCUUCAACAAAAAUAGGAAAAGGAAAUAUUCGUAUCUAGUGAUCAGUCUUCCAAAAACUUACUUUGUUAAACACCACUCUGAUUCCACGCACAAGUACUCUGAAGUUGAAAUAAAAAAUAUGCUAGAGUUCCUCAUCGACAAUAUCUUCGUAGUCCUUAGAGGUCUUUCAACAGUCUGUAUUUUGUAGAAUAUGCAGGACUAUAGAAAGCAAUCCAACAAAGACAAGUUCUUAUACAAGACAAUAUAAGAACUACAAAAUCACUUUUGCCUAUUAUUCCCUCUACUAUUUCAAUAUAUUUCAAAGAUAAAAAAAGGUUGUAAAGAUAUGUUUUAGCAAUUUUUUUUUGUGGAAAAUUUGCUAAUAAGAAUAUACACAAGGUGGAAAAUUUGAUAAUUCUGAUGAUAAAGGAAUAUAUUUAUAUCAGUAAAUUCUCAAGUAUAAGCAAAUUAAGUAUAGAAGCAUCCAAAAAAAAAUUAUCAUUGAUAGAAUUACAGUUGAAAAACUUUUGUUGUUGAAAAACUGCAGGUAUAGGGAGUUUGAGAGAUACUGGCAAAAUAUUUAUGAUAAAUUAUGAUUGUAUUAGUGUAUUAAAAAGUUUUUUUUUAAAACCUAAGAUUGUGUUCCAUGCCCCGCUUUGUUUUAUGUGUUCUUUCUUUCUUUCUCUCUCUCUUUCUUUAUAUUUAUGAAAAUGUCUUUUGCAUAUAAAUAUUGAUGGUAUUAUUGUGUAGUUAAAUUACAUAUAUGUAUAUAAUGUAAAAGUCAAAUAAAAAAUCAAACAAUAAAAAAAA
Ostrea edulis (European flat oyster) is the source of this 1911-nucleotide long non-coding RNA. RefSeq lists it as uncharacterized. The transcript is spliced from 2 exons. Lineage: Eukaryota; Metazoa; Mollusca; Bivalvia; Ostreida; Ostreidae. The record is from RefSeq and is a predicted model, not a curated record.